AUUGAACGCUGGCGGCGUGCUUAACACAUGCAAGUCGUGCGGUAACAGGCGUAGCAAUACGUGCUGGCGAGUGGCGAACGGGUGAGUAACACAUCGGAACGUGCCCAGUUGUGGGGGAUAACCUAUCGAAAGGUAGGCUAAUACCGCAUGAGCUCGGCGAGAGGAAAGCGGGGGACCCAGCGAUGGGCCUCGCGCGACUGGAGCGGCCGAUGUCCGAUUAGCUAGUUGGUGGGGUAAAGGCUUACCAAGGCGACGAUCGGUAGCUGGUCUGAGAGGAUGAUCAGCCACACUGGGACUGAGACACGGCCCAGACUCCUACGGGAGGCAGCAGUGGGGAAUUUUGGACAAUGGGGGCAACCCUGAUCCAGCCAUGCCGCGUGAGUGAAGAAGGCCUCGGUUGU
RNAcentral lists this ribosomal RNA (401 nucleotides) under uncultured bacterium. RNAcentral's name for it is "bacterial SSU rRNA". It matches the Rfam family "Bacterial small subunit ribosomal RNA", at positions 29 to 426 of the family's 1533-position model. The record is from RNAcentral.